RNAcentral lists this long non-coding RNA (2332 nucleotides) under Acanthaster planci (crown-of-thorns starfish). RNAcentral's name for it is "uncharacterized LOC110978200, transcript variant X1". The record is from RNAcentral. Lineage: Eukaryota; Metazoa; Echinodermata; Asteroidea; Valvatida; Acanthasteridae.
AUUUAUUUCAGCCCAUUGACUUUGUACACAUUUUUGAGACAUCAUUAUGGUUACUCGAUCGUCAUCAAAGUCAUACCAAGGAAGAAACUUGAAACAAAGAUAAUACUAAAAUAAUGAUGUCAAGAUGACGUCAUCAAGUGAUUUAUUAUUGAUUUUUCAAUAUUUAUUUCAGCCCCAUUGACUUUGUACACAUUUUGAAACCAAUUACCUUUGUAAAUACAUACAAGUGUUGCCUAAGCGUUUGCAUGCGCAUGUCUGUUGCGCUAACAGCUGAUCUGCGCGAUCGGUCGAUGUAAGCAUUGUCGCGCAGUCUUAAUGCAUGGUUUGGAUGGAAAGUUGUGAAGAAAUCCUGCAAAAUAUUGAUAAAAAUGAAAUCUGAGAUUUCGUGUCAUCAGGCCUCAACCGAUUGUUUAAAGUAGUACUCAACACCAAUCGUUCAUGCAUGUAUCAACUAUUUCCGCGGUACUACACGUCAACACAUGGAUUCGAUCGGGACGAUGUUUUCGACGAGCGCAUGUGUUUUCUUAGGACCUCUUCAUGCUCUUGGGACCUCCCGGACCAGAAAUUGCACCAGCUGAGUUCUUAAUGGACUUUGCUUGAUCAGAGGAUUCCAAAGUAAUCCCACGAAAGCUGAACUGGAACCAAAUUCAUGAAACGCGGUGCUAGAAAUUGCACAAGGAGUUGACACCGAUUGGGCAUGAUAACUCGUGGGCAUGGGUUCAUCUAGCCCAUGCCAUGCAUGCCGAGCCUAACAAGCAGACAUACGUGCGGCGCUGCAGCGAGCUGGGUUUGGAAGCUGGCCUUGGACGAAGUGCUGGAACCGGUAGGCAAAACAUUCUUAAUUGCAAGUUUUUGGCUGCACUUUCUGUGCUCUGUAGCUCUGGACAGUGAUGUUAAGGGAAAGAGAAUUGACCCAAAUUAGCUCUGAAUUUGCACUGACAUAACUUGAACUCUAAAAAGGGCCUGUUUUAACAUUUCGAUAUGAUCACCCCAAUCAUGGCAAGGUGAUUAACAGUGAUUGUGUACGUCAUAUGUGUUCAGCACAAUCCAGACAUCAACUUCCACAUAUUCAUUAACCCCCUCCCAAGUACAUUAUUCAACCAUUUUAGUAAGAUGUAUUUUAUUCAAAAGCAAAUCUAAUCCGGAUGGAGCACAAUACAUACUUGUACAUUUUCAGACAUUUCACAGGGGUGCUGAACAUAGGCAUGGAACUGACUAAAGUCCCUCAAAACACUGACGGUGCAUUCUGUAUUUCAUUUCUAUGCCCCCCUCCCCCGAAGACAAACCCAUGUCAUUACGGGUUCAUGGUAAAUAUCCAAACAUGUAUGAAAUUUGGAUGUAGACCUGUAAUUCUUUUUGCAAGCUGUUUAUAUAGAAAAAUUGAAUUUCCUUAUUUGCUUUGUGUGUAUAGGUAUCCUUCAUACUACUUCUGGAAUGAAAGCUGGAGAAUGGAGAUAAAUCUGUUCUCCGUGUUAUUUCUGAACAUUGGAAUUCAACAUAACUGCAGUUACAUGUAGAUAUCAGAGGCACAAGUACCAAAAAUAAAGGAAGCUGCAUGCAAUAAAGCGUGGAAAUUAACAGAUGUUCAUCAGCACAGUCAUGAGGGUGGUCUUCACACAAGUCCCUGGUAUCGUUGAUAUGAAGUGCAGUUGAAGCAGGAUGGAUCCUGAGAAGGGUGGGAACAGCUUCUUUAAAAUACCCGUAGCUAGACUGCAACCAACAGGAACUGAAUAUUUCAAGACAUCCUUUAUGCUGCUGCUGAAGUGAAAGCUACAGAUGAUAGUUCUGCAUGUUUGGAAUUCAACAUCACUGCAGUUACAUGUAGAUCAGAUGCAUGGCUACCCUUGAUAAAGGAAGGUGCUGUACAGCAAAGCAAGGAAAUUAUAAGCUGUAUUUGAGAAGAUGGCCAUCGAGUGCUACCGAUGUAAGGUGACCUUCACAACCAAACAAGGGUUAUGGCCUCACCUUCGACUAGUCCAUGGGCCGCCCUUGUACCUGUGUUGUAAGCGGUGUAGCUACAGGGACAAAAGGAGGGACAACCUCAGACGACACUAUCGUUCUUGCCAUCCAGAUUAUCUUGAUGAGUGCAGCAGUGUCCAAAUGACAGAGGAUCGACAAGACGGGGGUAUUACGAUGCCCUGUUCCAGUAGUCCAAGGUCGUCGGUGGGAAGAAUGGUCAACGAGGGGGUGGUAGGUUCGGCUGCACCGACUGAGAGGGUGGCUCCCCGAGAUGGGGUUGAUGAGGAUGCUCUAGGUAUAGGUGAGACCUCAUCAGCUGGGAAGGGCCCAGCUGAAGAUGAAAAGGCCUCUCACUCCACGGUGAGCAACCUGU